This 2061-nucleotide long non-coding RNA is filed under the name Toxoplasma gondii VEG. Lineage: Eukaryota; Apicomplexa; Conoidasida; Eucoccidiorida; Sarcocystidae. The record is from RNAcentral.
GUUUUCGCAGCCGUACGUCGGUUGGGGAGAUUUGUUCUGUGAUCGAGUUGAGCCUCAUGCGAGCGACUCCGCUACAACUUCACGCGCAGUAACUCGUAGUCAGUGGACCGCGUGAACGUGGAGAUCAGGGUACUCAGUGCGAUAUUACAGUACAGAAUUCAACCCUGCGGCUGAUUCAGGUUUUCGCUGAAACAGAGAGAGAGUUGCCGCUGCUGUAGGUUGCACCCCCUUCUGUAGUUGCGCCUCCUCGAGAGGUGCUUCAAAUUCAGUAUGUGCGCUUAGCUACAUGCUCAACAUAGACUCUUGACAGGGUGGUGAACACAUGAAUUUGUAACUAACGGUGGAGCCUUUAGGCUAGGCGGUCAGGGGGCGCAAGGAAAGCUGUUAAUUGUUUCACUCGUGCUGAUCCAUGAUGACACACUGGCGCAGCCUCUCGUCUACAACGAGCAGGCGGCUACAAAUGCACGAUCUGAAGUUGUGACCGUGUAUCACGCAGUGAUGCAACCCAAUGAGGAUUCGCAUGAACACUAGCAGUGCUAGGUCCAUUACCUUGUGGCAUCAUUCAAGGCCUCCUGUGUAUCGCGUAACUCGCCAUCGUGCACUCUACGUGUCCAGGACUGGCAAUUCGUGAGGUUGGCCAAGUGAACUCUUUUGGGCACAAAAGCGUUGCCCUCCCAGAGGUCUGCUCUUCUCGAAUUUGUCUAUCCACUCAACUGUUGCUGAUAAGCAUGUGCAAAUGGGAUGAUUACAUGUGCUUCCUUGUAUAACAGAAGAAGUCGUCAGUGAGUGGAUGGUCAUUUUAUGCGAGGCUUCAUGUUUAAUUUUAACCUUUUGCUUAAAAACCAAAACUUAUCGGUUUCCUCUUCAACAGGCAAAUUGUUAGGUUCAUAUACCCUUCUAUUGUUAGGAUUAAAAUUUCAGUCUCUUUUCACUCUCCUUCCGGGGUCUCUGCUCUGGGUCCGCUAAUAGAGCUUGCCGUCAGUUUUGUCUAUCCGUUAGGUACGAAAGCGUUCCAGUAGUCUCCGGACACGCAUCUUUGCUGAAUGUUGACAGCGGCAUCCUUGCUCUGUGUGUGUCUCCUGUCGCUUCAGUUUUGGACACAGAACGUACGUCGAAUUUUUAUUUGUCACCUCGCUGACCUUGCAAGGGCCGUUCCCCUCAGCGCUCCAGUGUCCAACAGUCUGCGUAGCUCAGUUUGCUGCGUCGAUGUGCCCAAGUGAAAAGCUGCUCCUGGUAUGCAUCAAUACGACAGACGCUGACGGGAGCCCUUCGCUUGAUGGAGCAGACGCGCCCUAUUGAAAUCCAGGUGUGCGAAUUCAGCAUAAAUAGUGUUUCACAGCCUGCCGGCUUGGUCUCAGUGUGGCGUUGCAUCACCGACCGCGAUAAAUGCUGAACAGUAAAGCCCGAGUGAUGCAGAAGGUCACAGCUUAUCAUCUGUCCGAAUGCUGCAUAUUGAACAGCUUAUUAGCAGUCUGCCCGCGCGCCUACCUGUAUCAAACGGUGAACGGACUGGCAACGUCACUUGCACGUUCUGAACUGUUGGCCCGGUCCGGUAGCCGUACAGUCGUUUCAUUGCUUCGCUGUAUCUGGUGCCGCCGCUCUUUUCAAGCGUGGCAGUGCAUGCCAGAAGAAACAGACAUUUCACGUUGGGGCUGUGGCUGCCUGAGCAGCCCUUUUGUCGUAUCAUUCAUUUCUCUGCAGCUCUCCUCCAUGUGGGAGGCGUGUUGUCUCAUCAAUUCCUUCUUUUGGUUUUAUCUGCACGCAAACCGUAAGUUCCUGUUUGCGAUAGCAGCCGCCACAGCUCUUGUCGUGAGUUCUGGCACAAGAGAGUGGAGCUACACAGUCGGUUCCGUCAGACUAUUUAGGGCCUCAUGCUCCUCUUCCUCCUGGCAGCGGAGUUAUCUGCCAGGUGUGGUCGAUCUGCGUCGGUCACCCAUAUCUGUUUAUGUACUCACCUGCUUUACACACGCUCAUGCAGGUUGUUGAAAGUUGAUGCUGUGAUUCAUCGCGCUGCCUUGUCACAUGCAUGUCUCUGUACAGCGCGUCGUGAAGCUUAAUCAA